GCAAGGACCCCAUAGGGACCCCAUAGAACCCCAUGGGGACCCCAUAAGAACCCCAUAAGGACCCCAUAGAACCCCAUAAGACCUCAUAGAGCCCCAUAGGACCCCAUUGGACCCCAUAAAACCCCAUAAGGACCCCAUAGGAGCCCAUAAGACCCCAUAGGACCCCAUAGGACCCCAUAAAGCCCCCAUAGAGUCCCAUAGGACCCCAUAGAACCCCUUUAAGCCCCCAUAGGACCCCAUAAAGCCCCCAUAGAUCCCCAUAAGGACCCCAUAAGGACCCUAUAGGACCCCUUUAAACCCCCAUAGGACCCCAUAAAGACCUCAUAGAGUCCCAUAGGACUCAUUUAAGCCCCCAAAGGACCCCAUAAGGACCCCAUAGAACCCCAUAAGACCCUUUUAAGCCCCCAUAAGGACCCCAUAGAGCCCCAUAGGACCCUAUAAAGACCCCAUAGGGCCCCAUAAGGACCCCAUAGGACCCCAUAAAGACCCCAUAAAGACCACUUGAAGCCCCCAUAGAACCCCAUAGGACCCCAUAGAGCCUCAUAAGGACCCCAUAGGACCCCAUAAGACCCCAUAAGGACCCCAUAAGACCCCAUAAGGACCCCAUAGGACCCCAUAAGACCCCAUAGAACUCCAUGAGACCCUUUUAAUCCCACAUAAGAGCCCCACAGAGCCUCAUAAGGACCCCAUAGGACCCCAUAGAACCUCAUUGGGACCCCAUAAGAACCCCAUAAGGACCUCAUAGAACCCCAUAAGACCUCAUAGAGCCCCAUAGGACCCCAUAAAACCCCAUAGGACCCCAUAAGGGCCCCAUAGACGCCCAUAGGACCACUUUAAGCCCCCAUAGGACCCCAUAA
This is a long non-coding RNA of Gallus gallus (chicken), 857 nucleotides long. Lineage: Eukaryota; Metazoa; Chordata; Aves; Galliformes; Phasianidae. The record is from Ensembl.